CUAUUUGGUUCUAAAAUUCAUUCUCCAUCAUCAAUUGAUGAUUUAUAGGUGAUUCUCACAUUUUGGGGUUUCAAGCAAGUGGUUUAGGGUUCUUCCUUGAGUUGGUCGUCCACACUAGAGGUAAGGGGAGCUAGUUCUACUUUUCAUUUUAGUUGUGUGAUGUGAAUGCAUGAUAAUUUUUGAAGUGGUAUGUUGUUGGAGGCAUGAAAAUUGAUUCUAGUUAACUUGAAAUGCAUGUAUGGAAGGGUUUAAUAUGUGAAUUUGGUGUGUGAUGACCGUAC
Molecule: long non-coding RNA, 281 nt
Filed under: Vigna radiata
Lineage: Eukaryota; Viridiplantae; Streptophyta; Magnoliopsida; Fabales; Fabaceae
Description: long non-coding RNA (VRAD_LNC007258)
Source: RNAcentral